AAUGAGAUAGAAUGAAACUUAACCUAAGACAGUUGUUGUGGCAACGAGGAUAUAUUUGUAUGACAAGCCUGAUUCACUUAGAUUAUGACUCGGAACUUGCAUUGCCCGUGAGAUUAAUCGCGUAUUUGUAGUUUCGGAUGUUUUAGGCUCGUUUUGCUCUCAUAAGAAAAUGGCUGAAUUCAAAAGCUCGCUCGUACUCUGCAUGCUGCUCGAUCAUCGAACAGAUUUUGGAACUUUGCAUGCUGACAUUUUAGGCAAAACAAUGAUACAAGCAGAAAAAGGCCACAUCGCGACUCGUUGGGACUCGUAUAAGAAAUCAAAAUGUAUGAUUCGAGUUACAGCAUCGUUAGCUCAGCCCGACAGGAAUCCCGACAAGCAAUUCCAGCAAUUCAAGCAUUAAAAAA
This 404-nucleotide long non-coding RNA is filed under the name Eucalyptus grandis. Its description in RNAcentral is "long non-coding RNA (EGRA_LNC000451)". The record is from RNAcentral. Lineage: Eukaryota; Viridiplantae; Streptophyta; Magnoliopsida; Myrtales; Myrtaceae.